Molecule: non-coding RNA, 45 nt
Filed under: Schistosoma mattheei
Lineage: Eukaryota; Metazoa; Platyhelminthes; Trematoda; Strigeidida; Schistosomatidae
Source: RNAcentral
AUCGAACUGACGAGUCCCAGAUAGGAUGAAACGCGAGUCCAGGAU